Molecule: ribosomal RNA, 462 nt
Filed under: uncultured Derxia sp.
Lineage: Bacteria; Pseudomonadati; Pseudomonadota; Betaproteobacteria; Burkholderiales; Alcaligenaceae
Description: bacterial SSU rRNA
Rfam family: Bacterial small subunit ribosomal RNA
Source: RNAcentral
GACGGGACCGCACAGCGGUGGAUGAUGUGGAUAAUCGAUGCAACGCGAAAACCUUACCUACGCUUCGACAUGUCAGGAACCUCGAAGAGAUUUGAGGGUGCCCGAAAGGGAACCCUGAACACAGGUGCUGCAUGGCUGUCGUCAGCUCGUGUCGUGAGAUGUUGGGUUAAGUCCCGCAACGAGCGCAACCCUUAUCAUUAGUUGCUACGCAAGGGCACUCUAAUGAGACUGCCGGUGACAAACCGGAGGAAGGUGGGGAUGACGUCAAGUCCUCAUGGCCCUUAUGCGUAGGGCUUCACACGUCAUACAAUGGUCGGUACAGAGGGUUGCCAACCCGCGAGGGGGAGCCAAUCCCACAAAGCCGAUCGUAGUCCGGAUUGCAGUCUGCAACUCGACUGCAUGAAGUCGGAAUCGCUAGUAAUCGCGGAUCAGCAUGUCGCGGUGAAUACGUUCCCGGGUCUU